GUUGUAUGGUUAAGUGACUAAGCGUACACGGUGGAUGCCUUGGCAGUCAGAGGCGAUGAAAGACGUAGUAACUUGCGAUAAGCCCAGAUUAGGUAGUAACAACCAUUUGAGUCUGGGAUUUCUGAAUGGGGAAACCCACGUGCAUAAGCACGUAUCCUUACCUGAAUACAUAGGGUAAGGAGGCGAACCGGGGGAACUGAAACAUCUAAGUACCCCGAGGAAAAGAAAUCAACCGAGAUUCCGAAAGUAGCGGCGAGCGAAAUUGGACUAGCCCUUAAGCUUUACACGCGUUAGACGAACGGUCUGGAAAGUCCGACGAUACAGGGUGAUAGUCCCGUAGUUGACGACGUGUGUUCAGUGAAAUCGAGUAGGGCGGGACACGUGAUAUCCUGUCUGAAUAUGGGGGGACCAUCCUCCAAGGCUAAAUACUACUGACUGACCGAUAGUGAACCAGUACCGUGAGGGAAAGGCGAAAAGAACCCCUGUGAGGGGAGUGAAAUAGAACCUGAAACCGUGUACGUACAAGCAGUAGGAGCAGGCUUGUCCUGUGACUGCGUACCUUUUGUAUAAUGGGUCAGCGACUUAUAUUCAGUGGCAAGGUUAACCAUCUAGGGGAGCCGUAGGGAAACCGAGUCUUAACUGGGCGUUCAGUCUCUGGAUAUAGACCCGAAACCAGGUGAUCUAGCCAUGGGCAGGUUGAAGGUUGAGUAACAUCAACUGGAGGACCGAACCGACUAAUGUUGAAAAAUUAGCGGAUGACUUGUGGCUAGGGGUGAAAGGCCAAUCAAACCUGGAGAUAGCUGGUUCUCCCCGAAAGCUAUUUAGGUAGCGCCUCGGACGAAUACUACUGGGGGUAGAGCACUGUUAAGGCUAGGGGGUCAUCCCGACUUACCAACCCUUUGCAAACUCCGAAUACCAGUAAGUACUAUCCGGGAGACACACGGCGGGUGCUAACGUCCGUCGUGGAGAGGGAAACAACCCAGACCGCCAGCUAAGGUCCCAAAUUACUACUAAGUGGGAAACGAUGUGGGAAGGCUCAGACAGCCAGGAUGUUGGCUUAGAAGCAGCCAUCAUUUAAAGAAAGCGUAAUAGCUCACUGGUCGAGUCGGCCUGCGCGGAAGAUGUAACGGGGCUAAGUAGUAAACCGAAGCUGCGGCAAUAUACUUUUGUAUAUUGGGUAGGGGAGCGUUCUGUAAGCGGUUGAAGGUGUGUGGUAACGCAUGCUGGACGUAUCAGAAGUGCGAAUGCUGACAUGAGUAACGAUAAAGGGGGUGAAAAACCUCCUCGCCGGAAGACCAAGGGUUCCUGUCCAACGUUAAUCGGGGCAGGGUAAGUCGACCCCUAAGGCGAGGCCGAAAGGCGUAGUCGAUGGGAAACGGGUUAAUAUUCCCGUACUUCUUACAAUUGCGAUGGGGGGACGGAGAAGGCUAGGUGGGCCUGGCGACGGUUGUCCAGGUUCAAGUGCGUAGGCUGAGAGAUUAGGUAAAUCCGGUUUCUCUUAAGGCUGAGACACGACGUCGAGCACCUACGGGUGUGAAGUCAUUGAUGCCAUGCUUCCAGGAAAAGCCUCUAAGCUUCAGAUUGUAAGGAAUCGUACCCCAAACCGACACAGGUGGUCGGGUAGAGAAUACCAAGGCGCUUGAGAGAACUCGGGUGAAGGAACUAGGCAAAAUGGUACCGUAACUUCGGGAGAAGGUACGCUCUCGACGGUGAAGUCCCUUGCGGAUGGAGCUAUUGAGAGUCGCAGAUACCAGGUGGCUGCAACUGUUUAUUAAAAACACAGCACUGUGCAAAAUCGUAAGAUGACGUAUACGGUGUGACGCCUGCCCGGUGCCGGAAGGUUAAUUGAUGGGGUUAGACUUCGGUCGAAGCUCUUGAUCGAAGCCCCGGUAAACGGCGGCCGUAACUAUAACGGUCCUAAGGUAGCGAAAUUCCUUGUCGGGUAAGUUCCGACCUGCACGAAUGGCGUAAUGAUGGCCACGCUGUCUCCACCCGAGACUCAGUGAAAUUGAAAUCGCUGUGAAGAUGCAGUGUACCCGCGGCUAGACGGAAAGACCCCGUGAACCUUUACUACAGCUUGGCACUGAACAUUGACCCUACAUGUGUAGGAUAGGUGGGAGGCUUUGAAGCACGUACGCCAGUAUGUGUGGAGCCGUCCUUGAAAUACCACCCUUGUAGUGUUGAUGUUCUAACGUCGACCCCUAAUCGGGGUUGCGGACAGUGCCUGGUGGGUAGUUUGACUGGGGCGGUCUCCUCCCAAAGAGUAACGGAGGAGCACGAAGGUGGGCUAAUCACGGUUGGACAUCGUGAGGUUAGUGCAAUGGCAUAAGCCCGCUUGACUGCGAGAAUGACAAUUCGAGCAGGUGCGAAAGCAGGUCAUAGUGAUCCGGUGGUUCUGAAUGGAAGGGCCAUCGCUCAACGGAUAAAAGGUACUCCGGGGAUAACAGGCUGAUACCGCCCAAGAGUUCAUAUCGACGGCGGUGUUUGGCACCUCGAUGUCGGCUCAUCACAUCCUGGGGCUGAAGUCGGUCCCAAGGGUAUGGCUGUUCGCCAUUUAAAGUGGUACGCGAGCUGGGUUUAGAACGUCGUGAGACAGUUCGGUCCCUAUCUGCCGUGGGCGUUGGAAGAUUGAAGGGGGCUGCUCCUAGUACGAGAGGACCGGAGUGGACGAACCUCUGGUGUUCGGGUUGUGUCGCCAGACGCAUUGCCCGGUAGCUAAGUUCGGAAUCGAUAACCGCUGAAAGCAUCUAAGCGGGAAGCGAGCCCUGAGAUGAGUCUUCCCUGAUACUUUAAGUAUCCUAAAGGGUUGUCGGAGACUACGACGUUGAUAGGUCAGGUGUGUAAGUGCUGUGAGGCAUUGAGCUAACUGAUACUAAUUGCCCGUGAGGCUUAACCAUACAACACCCAAGGGGUUU
This 2915-nucleotide ribosomal RNA is filed under the name Vibrio parahaemolyticus. RNAcentral describes it as "bacterial LSU rRNA". It matches the Rfam family "Bacterial large subunit ribosomal RNA". The record is from RNAcentral. Lineage: Bacteria; Pseudomonadati; Pseudomonadota; Gammaproteobacteria; Vibrionales; Vibrionaceae. RNAcentral also lists the same sequence under 1 other name.